GGCUGGCCCAAGUGCAGUGCUGUUUACAGCUAAUUGAUUACAACCAGUUACAGAUUUCUUCCUUCUCCAUUCCCACUAUUUCCCUUGAUUAGUCUUUA
Molecule: Y RNA, 98 nt
Filed under: Cercocebus atys (sooty mangabey)
Lineage: Eukaryota; Metazoa; Chordata; Mammalia; Primates; Cercopithecidae
Description: Y RNA (ENSCATG00000018162.1)
Rfam family: Y RNA
About the family: Y RNAs are components of the Ro ribonucleoprotein particle (Ro RNP), in association with Ro60 and La proteins. The Y RNAs and Ro60 and La proteins are well conserved, but the function of the Ro RNP is not known.
Source: Rfam by way of RNAcentral